UGACGAGUGGCGAACGGGUGAGUAAUACAUCGGAACGUGCCCAGUAGUGGGGGAUAACUACUCGAAAGAGUAGCUAAUACCGCAUACGAUCUAAGGAUGAAAGCGGGGGACCUUCGGGCCUCGCGCUAUUGGAUCGGCCGAUGUCAGAUUAGGUAGUUGGUGGGAUAAAAGCUCACCAAGCCGACGAUCUGUAGCUGGUCUGAGAGGAUGACCAGCCACACUGGGACUGAGACACGGCCCAGACUCCUACGGGAGGCAGCAGUGGGGAAUUUUGGACAAUGGGCGAAAGCCUGAUCCAGCAAUGCCGGGUGCAGGAUGAAGGCCUUCGGGUUGUAAACGGCUUUUGUACGGAAAGAAAAAGCUUCUCCUAAUACGAGAGGCCCAUGACGGUACCGUAAGAAUAAGCACCGGC
This 412-nucleotide ribosomal RNA is filed under the name uncultured bacterium. Its description in RNAcentral is "bacterial SSU rRNA". It matches the Rfam family "Bacterial small subunit ribosomal RNA", at positions 89 to 497 of the family's 1533-position model. The record is from RNAcentral.